RNAcentral lists this ribosomal RNA (450 nucleotides) under Laonome sp. JK-2015. Its description in RNAcentral is "partial 16S ribosomal RNA". It matches the Rfam family "Bacterial large subunit ribosomal RNA", at positions 1832 to 2600 of the family's 2925-position model. The record is from RNAcentral. Lineage: Eukaryota; Metazoa; Annelida; Polychaeta; Sabellida; Sabellidae.
UGUCUCUAGUUUAAUUGGAGAUAAAUCCUGCCCGGUGUAAUUAAACGGCUGCAGUAUUUUGACUGUACUAAGGUAGCGUAAUCCGUUGUCUUUUAAUUGGAGACUAGUAUGAAUGGGUUAACAAUGUGAAACUUUAUUUUUUUUUGAUAUUGAAAUUAAUAUGUAGGUGAAAAAGCCUAUAUAAAUAUGAAAGACAAGAAGACCCUAAGAGCUUAAUAGCUAACAGCGAAUAAUUUGGUUGGGGCAACAAAAAAGGAGCAUUUUUAAAAAAUCAGACGGUGUCGAGUAAAUGAUCCAUAAGAUCAAAAGUGAAGUUACCUUAGGGCUAACAGGCUAAUCUUUCUUGAGAGUUCAAAUUAAUAGAAAGGGUUGGCACCUCGAUGUUGGCUUAGAAAUCCUAUUGGUGCAGCAGCUGAUAAGGUGGGUUUGUUCACCCUUUAAAUUUCUACG